Molecule: ribosomal RNA, 447 nt
Filed under: Streptomyces sp. 7BE12
Lineage: Bacteria; Bacillati; Actinomycetota; Actinomycetes; Kitasatosporales; Streptomycetaceae
Description: bacterial SSU rRNA
Rfam family: Bacterial small subunit ribosomal RNA
Source: RNAcentral
AGUUUGAUCCUGGCUCAGGACGAACGCUGGCGGCGUGCUUAACACAUGCAAGUCGAACGAUGAACCGCUUUCGGGCGGGGAUUAGUGGCGAACGGGUGAGUAACACGUGGGCAAUCUGCCCUGCACUCUGGGACAAGCCCUGGAAACGGGGUCUAAUACCGGAUAUGACUGUCCAUCGCAUGGUGGAUGGUGUAAAGCUCCGGCGGUGCAGGAUGAGCCCGCGGCCUAUCAGCUUGUUGGUGAGGUAGUGGCUCACCAAGGCGACGACGGGUAGCCGGCCUGAGAGGGCGACCGGCCACACUGGGACUGAGACACGGCCCAGACUCCUACGGGAGGCAGCAGUGGGGAAUAUUGCACAAUGGGCGAAAGCCUGAUGCAGCGACGCCGCGUGAGGGAUGACGGCCUUCGGGUUGUAAACCUCUUUCAGCAGGGAAGAAGCGAAAGUGA